UGCGGGGAUGCCGGAGCGGUCAAACGGGCAUGGCUUAGGACCAUGUGCUUAGUGCUACAUAGGUUCAAAUCCUAUUCCCCGCAU
Molecule: transfer RNA, 84 nt
Filed under: uncultured archaeon
Lineage: Archaea
Description: tRNA-Leu(tag)
Rfam family: tRNA
About the family: Transfer RNA (tRNA) molecules are approximately 80 nucleotides in length. Their secondary structure includes four short double-helical elements and three loops (D, anti-codon, and T loops).
Source: RNAcentral